UGGUAACCAACUAUCCUCCAAAUCUGACCAGUUUUUUGACUUAAAUUUUUGUUUAUUUCUUAAACGACACUCCAUAUCCAGUGGGAGUUGGCAGGAGGCUCUGCUCCACAGCGUGCUCUAUUUGGGACCCCUGAAUUGCAAGAGUCUUCUUUUAGUACCUGACAGUCACCACACAAAGACAAGGACAAGGUUGAACCAUGACCUCUGUCUUCAACUUCGAUCAGGACAUCACUUCCAUCUCAGUGGCAAAUCUAACUUCAUUUCUUGCAGGAAUGCAAUUCCACCCCCGAGAGGAGAGGCAGCAAAAAUGAGUUGUCUUGGACCUCUGACCUCACUUGAAGAUGCCUUUCUUUUGGAUCUGCCCUAUAUAUUGACCCACAAGUUCAAGACCUGAGAGAUAUCUGCAGGCUCUUUUAUAGCAGAAUGAUGGGACUCCUGCAAUGGGGGAAUUUGCAAAAAGCAAUGACUUCAGACACGGUGCACUUCACUGAAAUGUGAAGUACAAGAAGUUCUUGCAAAUGAUGGAACCAUUUCUUCCCUGACAUCGGACAUACUUCGUCUGUUACCUAAUUUACCAUCUAUCCACGUCCUCGCUACAAUUUCUUAUUCAGAAUUCUGUGACCUGCCAUUGUUUUGGGA
Molecule: long non-coding RNA, 639 nt
Organism: Fukomys damarensis (Damara mole-rat)
Lineage: Eukaryota; Metazoa; Chordata; Mammalia; Rodentia; Bathyergidae
Exons: 4
Source: RefSeq, a predicted model, not a curated record